CGCUGGCGGCAGGUCUCUAUACACAUGCAAGUCGAGCGCCCCGCAAGGGGAGCGGCAGACGGGAGAGUAACACGUGGGAACGUACCCUUCAGUUCGGAACAACCCAGGGAAACUUGGGCUAAUACCGAAUACGUCCGUAAGGAGAAAGAUUUAUCGCUGAAGGAUCGGCCCGCGUCUGAUUAGCUAGUUGGUGGGGUAAUGGCUCACCAAGGCUACGAUCAGUAGCUGGUCUGAGAGGAUGAUCAGCCUCACUGGGACUGAGACACGGCCCAGACUCCUACGGGAGGCAGCAGUGGGGAAUAUUGGACAAUGGGCGCAAGCCUGAUCCAGCCAUGCCGCGUGGAUGAUGAAGGCCUUAGGGUUGUAAAGUCCUUUCGACGGGGAAGAUAAUGACGGUACCCGUAGAAGAAGCCCCGGCUAACUUCGUGCCAGCCGCCG
This 438-nucleotide ribosomal RNA is filed under the name uncultured bacterium. RNAcentral describes it as "bacterial SSU rRNA". It matches the Rfam family "Bacterial small subunit ribosomal RNA", at positions 34 to 517 of the family's 1533-position model. The record is from RNAcentral.